GAUUCGGUCUCGCUGAGUUUCCUACAUAGGAGAACGGGGGAACCAACAGCUGCCUUCAGCAUUCAAACCAGUAGUAACGGAAGGCAACAUGUCUGAUUCCUGAUACAGGGUCUUUGGGGUGAAUUGGGGAUACUUGCGCCAUGAGCGGAGGACUCUUCAAAGGGCAUGAAAUACAAGCAGUUCAAAAUGUCCGAACCCGACAGCUAACCUCGUAAGCGAUGCAGAGGCAACCU
This 233-nucleotide small RNA is filed under the name Paenibacillus bovis. RNAcentral's name for it is "c-di-AMP sequence". It matches the Rfam family "c-di-AMP riboswitch aptamer (ydaO/yuaA leader)". Rfam says of the family: This family represents a conserved RNA structure found upstream of the ydaO and yuaA genes in Bacillus subtilis and related genes in other bacteria. The ydaO/yuaA element is thought to act as a genetic "off" switch for the ydaO and yuaA genes in its native state. Lineage: Bacteria; Bacillati; Bacillota; Bacilli; Caryophanales; Paenibacillaceae. The record is from Rfam by way of RNAcentral.